This 253-nucleotide ribosomal RNA is filed under the name uncultured bacterium. RNAcentral describes it as "partial 16S ribosomal RNA". It matches the Rfam family "Bacterial small subunit ribosomal RNA", at positions 524 to 776 of the family's 1533-position model. The record is from RNAcentral.
UACAGAGGGUGCAAGCGUUGUUCGGAAUUACUGGGCGUAAAGCGUGCGUAGUCGGUAUUGAGAGUCGCGGGUGAAAUCCCAGGGCUUAACCCUGGAACUGCCUGCGAGACCUCAGUACUAGAGUGUGAGAGGGGAUAGUGGAAUACCCAGUGUAGCGGUGAAAUGCGUAGAGAUUGGGUGGAACACCGGUGGCGAAGGCGGCUAUCUGGCUCACAACUGACGAUCAGGCACGAAAGCGUGGGGAGCAAACGGG